UAUAGCAGUAAUGGGGUUAAACUGAUAUUAAAAUGACAACUCCAUAGGUGGUACCAGGUCAGGGGAGUUCAUCUCUGCUCCCAGCAUCCCUGGGACAGUACUGAUCAACAUAGCUGACCUGAUGCAGAGGUGGACCAGUGAUGUUUUCCUCUCAGUGGUCCAUAGGGUUUUACUGCCCCCUGCUGGAGACUGGAGCACACUGCAGUCCCUGGCUUUGUGCAGCUGAAGGAUGAGGUCCUCAUCACCUGUUGUGAUGGGUCCAACAAAUAUCCCCAGGUGAAGGCAGGGUCCUAUCUCAUCCAACACGUCAAUGACUUUUAUAGGAGGGAGGGAGCAUUUCCAAUGUUAAGCUAUGGAAUGAACUGUACAUUUUAUGGUGAAUUUUAAUACAGAUUUACUUUAAUACAAUAAUUCCUUGAAUGUAA
Non-coding RNA from Salmo salar (Atlantic salmon), 425 nucleotides. The record is from RefSeq and is a predicted model, not a curated record. NCBI's taxonomy places the organism in Eukaryota, Metazoa, Chordata, Actinopteri, Salmoniformes, Salmonidae.